AAAGGUGCUAGUUUACUUUUCUGCUUCAGCAAUAGAUUCCACUGAAGAUAACUGACUCCUAAUUUGUUGUCAGAGGAUCCUGCAGUCCCUGAAGCUCAGUACUCUCAAUACCAUUGAUCUUUGUAGCUGCUGAGGAGGAUGUAGAAGAGAGGGUUCCGGUGAAUGCUGAUGCUAAAACAUACUCUCUACUUGGGAAAAGAGGUAUAUGACAAACCAGCCAAGAGGACCACCAGUCAAAUAAUAUUUUUAAAAAGCUUAUGUGAUGUGUAUGUUAUAUAUGUGUUAUUUCACUUAGGCAUGCUCAGACAAUGUCACACACUUCUUCAAUGA
RNAcentral lists this long non-coding RNA (330 nucleotides) under Fukomys damarensis (Damara mole-rat). Its description in RNAcentral is "lncRNA (ENSFDAG00000026652.1)". The record is from RNAcentral. Lineage: Eukaryota; Metazoa; Chordata; Mammalia; Rodentia; Bathyergidae.